UGGGUUGUAGCUCAGUGGUAGAGCAUUUGCCUCAUAUCCAUAAGGUUCUGGGGUUCAGUCCCCAGAACCAAA
This 72-nucleotide transfer RNA is filed under the name Dipodomys ordii (Ord's kangaroo rat). It matches the Rfam family "tRNA". Rfam says of the family: Transfer RNA (tRNA) molecules are approximately 80 nucleotides in length. The record is from Rfam by way of RNAcentral. Lineage: Eukaryota; Metazoa; Chordata; Mammalia; Rodentia; Heteromyidae.